This is a long non-coding RNA of Sinocyclocheilus rhinocerous, 324 nucleotides long. RefSeq lists it as uncharacterized. The transcript has 3 exons. Lineage: Eukaryota; Metazoa; Chordata; Actinopteri; Cypriniformes; Cyprinidae. The record is from RefSeq and is a predicted model, not a curated record.
CAAGUCGGAGGCGCGCGCUGCUGAGCGUGAAUGACAGACGGACGCGCGCGCGGUGUCCCUGCACUCACGCAACUCAUUCGUUUGUCAAGAUAUGUUUGUUGAGAUAUUCUUUGAUGACGCUUUUGUAUUCACGAACUACAGUUUGGAAAUAACUCCUUAACAUCAGUGACAAGUACCUCUCGGGCUUCACAGGAGAAACAACUCCUAAAGUUGGCAAUUCCAAACUACAACGGAGAGCUGUUAGCUUCCAGAAAGAGUUCUUGUUUGAAGAGAAAGACGAGGGAACCAACAAAGAAUUAGAUGUCAGUCUGCUGGGAAAUACAC